Molecule: non-coding RNA, 35 nt
Filed under: unclassified sequences
Description: DUF805b RNA
Rfam family: DUF805b RNA
About the family: Bacteroidetes, Chlorobi (1 example), Proteobacteria. Lineage (Flavobacteria)
Source: RNAcentral
AAAGAGAUCCCCGAAAAUCUAUAAAAGAGUAGGGA